GGGCCGUUAGCUCAGUUGGUAGAGCACCGGGCUUUUAACCCGUUGGUCCAGGGUUCGAGACCCUGACGGCCCACCA
This 76-nucleotide transfer RNA is filed under the name Myxococcales bacterium. RNAcentral describes it as "tRNA-Lys". It matches the Rfam family "tRNA". From Rfam's summary of the family: Transfer RNA (tRNA) molecules are approximately 80 nucleotides in length. Their secondary structure includes four short double-helical elements and three loops (D, anti-codon, and T loops). Further hydrogen bonds mediate the characteristic L-shaped molecular structure. tRNAs have two regions of fundamental functional importance: the anti-codon, which is responsible for specific mRNA codon recognition, and the 3' end, to which the tRNAs corresponding amino acid is attached (by aminoacyl-tRNA synthetases). tRNAs cope with the degeneracy of the genetic code in two manners: having more than one tRNA (with a specific anti-codon) for a particular amino acid; and 'wobble' base-pairing, i.e. permitting non-standard base-pairing at the 3rd anti-codon position. Lineage: Bacteria; Pseudomonadati; Myxococcota; Myxococcia; Myxococcales. The record is from RNAcentral.